GUGCUUGAUUCGGCAGCACAUAUACCAAAAUUGGAAUGAUUCAGAGAAGAUUAGUGUGGUCCCUGUACAAGGAUGACAUGGAAAUUCUUGCAUCAAUCCAUCCUUUG
Jaculus jaculus (lesser Egyptian jerboa) is the source of this 107-nucleotide small nuclear RNA. The record is from Ensembl. NCBI's taxonomy places the organism in Eukaryota, Metazoa, Chordata, Mammalia, Rodentia, Dipodidae.